RNAcentral lists this non-coding RNA (29 nucleotides) under Rattus norvegicus (Norway rat). The record is from RNAcentral. Lineage: Eukaryota; Metazoa; Chordata; Mammalia; Rodentia; Muridae.
GAGUACCCGACCUUGAUAGCUGAGCAUUU